This 1627-nucleotide long non-coding RNA is filed under the name Homo sapiens (human). RNAcentral's name for it is "HSALNT0373391". The record is from RNAcentral. Lineage: Eukaryota; Metazoa; Chordata; Mammalia; Primates; Hominidae.
GGGGAAGUCAUAGCUGGAGGAGACGUGUGUUAGGAAGCUACAAUGGCAGCUCCCUAGUGGAGGUGUUUCGGAAAAACUCCGAAGAUUCCACUUGAGAAAAUCAUCGGCCUUCAGACAACGUCUAUGCCAGAUAAUGCUACCAAAUCACAACCUUGCCUUUCCUCCCUACUGCUGUUCUGAUGUGGGAGGACCCAAAGGCAGCAGAAGAGCCAAAGAAGAGUAGCAGAAAGGCAUAUCCACAGCUCUUCAAAUAAGCAAUGUGAUGUUAGCAAAAGUGCAGGGGCUCCUUGAGAACUUUCCAGGGCUAACCAGCUGCUGAGGAGUGGCCUCCAGGAAAGAGAGAAGCACUCUGAUUCAGGCAGUGAUUUACACCUAAAAUACCAACUCCAUCAUAUCUUCAGAACAAUUCUUCUAGACCUUGCAUCUAAAUAUGGAGUCAUUAACUAACAACGAACAAAACCUCUGGAUGGCCGAAGGACCUAGGCUAUACAGAAAGCUGUGAAUUACCAAUGAGAACGCAGAUUAGAUCAAAGAUGUCCCUAAGAAGCGUUGAGAUGUCACAAAGUUCUAGGUAAGGAGAGAGCUUUAGUUUAUGUAAAUUUCAUCUUUCCAUAAACCUGCCCUCACCUUUCUAACCUUUUUCCUCCCCUGUAUUAAGAAAUAUCUAACUUUAUAUUUCAUUAGGAGGGGCAUGAUAAAGUAAGCAGAACACCGCAGUGGGCAUCAGAAUGCAUUCCAUUUCCAGACCUAUCUCUUACCAUCUGGAUAUCUCACUCUCAGGAAGAUCAAGUGACAAACCUGGAUUAGUCCAUUUUCACACUGCUACAAGGAACUACCUGAGACUGGGUAGUUUAUGAAGAAAAGAGGUUUAAUUGAUUCAUAGUUCUGCAGCCUUAACAGGAAGCAUGACUUGGGGGUCUCAGGAAACUUAUACAAUCAUAGCAGAAAGUGAAGGGGAAGCAAGGUAUGUCUUCUCGUGGUAGCAGGGGAGAGAGAGAGCAAAGGGGGAACUGGCACACAGUUUUAACCAUCAUAUCUGGUGAGAACUCAUUCACUAUCACAAAAACAGCACAGGGCAAACCACCCUCAUGAUCUAGUUACCUCCUACCAGGUCCCUUCCCUGACAUGUGGGGAUUACGAUUUGACGUGAGAUUUUGGUAGGGACACAGCCAAACCAGAUUAAAACCCAGACUCUCAAUCUCCAUCUCUGACUUCCUCCAUCUGCUGCUUCCUCCUUCUUCUUUCCAUCCCAUAGCUAUGAGAAAUCAGGUGGGUGCUCUUCUAUUCAUCUCAUGAACUACUGGACAUGUUUACAUUUGGGGAACUUAAAAAUAAAAAUGAACCAGAUAGCUGUUGGCUGUUGUCUUUUUGUGAAGAAUAAUUUUAGGGAUCAAAAGACAAAAAGAAAAACAUUCUUUGUAUCAGAGAAUAGCAUUAUGAUCUCCACACAUAGUGCCAGCUCUUUUAACUUUGAAGGUCAAAUUUCCUAGUUUUCCAAAUGUCCACUGAUUCCCUUUAAACAAAACCCUGUCUGGGCAAAAUAAAACAUGUCCAUGAACUCAAUUUAGAUAAAGCUGAUUUGGCCUAUGAGCCGUGAAUUUAAAUAAAGAAAUCUUAAAUAAUGGAA